This 484-nucleotide ribosomal RNA is filed under the name uncultured bacterium. Its description in RNAcentral is "partial 16S ribosomal RNA". It matches the Rfam family "Bacterial small subunit ribosomal RNA", at positions 28 to 523 of the family's 1533-position model. The record is from RNAcentral.
GACGAACGCUGGCGGCGUGCUUAACACAUGCAAGUCGAACGAUGAAGCCGGAGCUUGCUCUGGUGAAUUAGUGGCGAACGGGUGAGUAACACGUGAGUAACCUGCCCUUGACUCUGGGAUAACUGCGGGAAACUGUAGCUAAUACCGGAUACGACCCUCGGAGGCAUCUCCUGGGGGUGGAAAGAAUUUCGGUAAAGGAUGGACUCGCGGCCUAUCAGCUAGUUGGUGAGGUAAAGGCUGACCAAGGCGACGACGGGUAGCCGGCCUGAGAGGGUAACCGGCCACACUGGGACUGAGACACGGCCCAGACGCCUACGGGAGGCAGCAGUGGGGCAUAUUGCACAAGGGGCGGAAGCCUGAUGCAGCAACGCCGCGUGAGGGAUGACGGCCUUCGGGUUGUAAACUUCCUUUAGCAGGGAAGAAGCGAAAGUGACGGUACCUGCAGAAAAAGCACCGGCUAACUACGUGCCAGCCGCCGCGGUAA